Molecule: non-coding RNA, 29 nt
Filed under: Mus musculus (house mouse)
Lineage: Eukaryota; Metazoa; Chordata; Mammalia; Rodentia; Muridae
Source: RNAcentral
UUCAACUGCGACUUUUGUGUGUCCUGAGC